GAUGAACGCUGGCGGCGUGCCUAAUACAUGCAAGUCGAACGCUGAAGGAGGAGCUUGCUCUUCUGGCUGAGUUGCGAACGGGUGAGUAACGCGUAGGUAACCUGCCUGGUAGCGGGGGAUAACUAUUGGAAACGAUAGCUAAUACCGCAUGACAACAGUUAUUGCAUGAUAACUGUUUAAAAGGGGCAACUGCUCCACUACCAGAUGGACCUGCGUUGUAUUAGCUAGUUGGUGAGGUAACGGCUCACCAAGGCGACGAUACAUAGCCGACCUGAGAGGGUGGACGGCCAAACUGGGACUGAGACACGGCCCAGACUCCUACGGGAGGCAGCAGGAGGGAAUCUUCGGAAAUGGACGGAAGGCUGACCGAGCAACGCCGCGUGAGGGAAGAAGGGUUUCGGAUCGUAAAGCUCUGUUGUAAGAGAAGAACGAGUGUGAGAGUGGAAAGUUCACACUGUGACGGUAGCUUACCAGAAAGGGACGGCUAACUACGUG
This 495-nucleotide ribosomal RNA is filed under the name uncultured bacterium. Its description in RNAcentral is "partial 16S ribosomal RNA". It matches the Rfam family "Bacterial small subunit ribosomal RNA", at positions 28 to 507 of the family's 1533-position model. The record is from RNAcentral.